ACUCCUACGGGAGGCAGCAGUGAGGAAUAUUGGACAAUGGAGGCAACUCUGAUCCAGCCAUGCCGCGUGCAGGAAGACUGCCCUAUGGGUUGUAAACUGCUUUUUAUACAGGAAGAAACACCUCUACGUGUAGAGAUUUUGACGGUACUGUAAGAAUAAGGAUCGGCUAACUCCGUGCCAGCAGCCGCGGUAAUACGGAGGAUCCAAGCGUUAUCCGGAAUCAUUGGGUUUUAAAGGGUCCGUAGGUGGAUAAUUAAGUCAGAGGUGAAAUCCUGCAGCUUAACUGUAGAAUUGCCUUUGAUACUGGUUGUCUUGAGUUAUUAUGAAGUGGUUAGAAUAUGUAGUGUAGCGGUGAAAUGCAUAGAUAUUACAUAGAAUACCAAUUGCGAAGGCAGAUCACUAAUAAUAUACUGACACUGAUGGACGAAAGCGUGGGGAGCGAACAGGAUUAGAUACCCUGGUAGCACAGAG
This 471-nucleotide ribosomal RNA is filed under the name uncultured bacterium. RNAcentral's name for it is "bacterial SSU rRNA". It matches the Rfam family "Bacterial small subunit ribosomal RNA", at positions 335 to 799 of the family's 1533-position model. The record is from RNAcentral.